AUGGAAUAACGAAAUAGGACGUUUGAUUCUAUUUUGUUGGUUUUUAGGAUCGACGUAAUGAUUAAUAGGGAUAGUUAAGAGCAUUAGUAUUCAAUUGUCAGAGGUGAAAUUCUUGGAUUUAUUGAAGACUAACUACUGCGAAAGCAUUUGCCAAGGAUGUUUUCAUUAAUCAAGAACGAAAGUUAGGGGAUCGAAGACGAUCAGAUACCGUCGUAGUCUUAACCAUAAACUAUGCCGACUAGGGAUCGGAUGAUGUUAAUUUUUUAAUGACUCAUUCGGCACCUUAC
Molecule: ribosomal RNA, 287 nt
Filed under: uncultured Glomeromycotina
Lineage: Eukaryota; Fungi; Glomeromycota
Description: partial 18S ribosomal RNA
Rfam family: Eukaryotic small subunit ribosomal RNA
Source: RNAcentral